UGGGGAAUUUUGGACAAUGGGCGAAAGCCUGAUCCAGCAAUGCCGCGUGUGUGAAGAAGGCCUUCGGGUUGUAAAGCACUUUUGUCCGGAAAGAAAUCCUUGGCUCUAAUACAGUCGGGGGAUGACGGUACCGGAAGAAUAAGCACCGGCUAACUACGUGCCAGCAGCCGCGGUAAUACGUAGGGUGCAAGCGUUAAUCGGAAUUACUGGGCGUAAAGCGUGCGCAGGCGGUUUGCUAAGACCGAUGUGAAAUCCCCGGGCUCAACCUGGGAACUGCAUUGGUGACUGGCAGGCUAGAGUAUGGCAGAGGGGGGUAGAAUUCCACGUGUAGCAGUGAAAUGCGUAGAGAUGUGGAGGAAUACCGAUGGCGAAGGCAGCCCCCUGGGCCAAUACUGACGCUCAUGCACGAAAGCGUGGGGAGCAAACAGGAUUAAAUACCCUGGUAGUCCACGCCCUAAACGAUGUCAACUAGUUGUUGGGGAUUCAUUUUCCUUAGUAACGUAGCUAACGCGUGAAGUUGACCGCCUGGGGGAGUACGGUCGCAAGAUU
This 549-nucleotide ribosomal RNA is filed under the name uncultured bacterium. Its description in RNAcentral is "partial 16S ribosomal RNA". It matches the Rfam family "Bacterial small subunit ribosomal RNA", at positions 355 to 895 of the family's 1533-position model. The record is from RNAcentral.